AAUAGCCUAACGGCUGAACCAGCAACUUGGAAGAAUGUAUAGCGAAAGCUAGUUGUAUUAAUUAUUAGUUGGUACAGCAUCGACUACGUCGACUAAAGUUCUAGGUAGAGUUAUGAUGAUGACAUUCUCUACCUAUGUGUCUUGACCAAAUCACGUGCCAGCAGUCGCGGCAAGACGUGGAAGACUAGUGUUAUUCAUCUUUAAAAGGUUUAAAGGGUACUUAGACGGUAUAGUAAGCCACUAAAUGGUACUAAUAUGCUAGAGUUUUAUGGGAGAGAGCAAUGGAGAACUGACGAGUGUAGAGAUGAAAUUCUUUGAUACCGUUAUAGGAACAGGCAAAGGCGAAAGCGACUCUUUAUGUUGAAACUGACGUUGAAGGACGAAGGCUUAGUACCCCAAACAGGAUUAGAUACCCUAGUAGGCUGAGCAGAAAAUGAUGAAUGUCAUAGAUUAAACAAAAAUAUAAAAAAAGAAAAUAAAAAUAAGAAGAGAUUAGUCACUCAUACCCUUAUCUUUAUUUUAUUUUUUAAAUUUUUGUGGUUUAUAAAUGAAAGUGUAAACAUUCCACCUUGAGAGUAAUGUGGCAACGCAGAAACCGAAAUCAUUAGACCGUUUCUGAAACCAGUAGUGAAGUAUGUUGUUUAAUUUGAUAUUACGCAAAAAACCUUACCACAAUUUGAAUAUAUUAUUAUUAUAAUACGGGCGUUGCACGGCUGUCUUCAGUUAAUGUCGUGAGAUUUUGGUUAAUUCCUUUAAAUUAACGUAAACCCUUACUUUAUUUUUUAUUAUAAAGUAGUUCGCCGCUAUAUU
RNAcentral lists this ribosomal RNA (810 nucleotides) under Steinera membranacea. Its description in RNAcentral is "SSU rRNA". It matches the Rfam family "Bacterial small subunit ribosomal RNA", at positions 370 to 1160 of the family's 1533-position model. The record is from RNAcentral. Lineage: Eukaryota; Fungi; Ascomycota; Lecanoromycetes; Arctomiales; Arctomiaceae.